This 65-nucleotide transfer RNA is filed under the name Dipodomys ordii (Ord's kangaroo rat). It matches the Rfam family "tRNA". From Rfam's summary of the family: Transfer RNA (tRNA) molecules are approximately 80 nucleotides in length. Their secondary structure includes four short double-helical elements and three loops (D, anti-codon, and T loops). The record is from Rfam by way of RNAcentral. Lineage: Eukaryota; Metazoa; Chordata; Mammalia; Rodentia; Heteromyidae.
GGUGGCUCAAUGGUAGAGUGCUUGCCUUGCAUGCAUGAGGCUCUGGGUUCGAUUCCUUAGCACCA